UUUCUUUUUUUUUUUUUUUUUGGCGCUUUAAGUGCAGAAAGCCCCCAUUUCACUAAAAGCACUUUUUUAUCUAUUGCUGCGCUUUUGCAAGCGCUUUUGACUACACUGAUUUUCAUUAAAAGUAGUUUCUCUAUGAAGACCUCUGAAAAAAAGACCCAAAUUGCAACAUCUAAAACAAUCCUCAUAUCAUAUUAAGUCAUUUCAUCCAUCGCGUGUUGAAUCCUAAAUCAAAUACAUAUUAAAUAAAAGCAUUUACUGGGCAAAGAAAAUUGCAGCUUAAAGAACCAACUCUUCACAAAGUCAUCCAAUUAACAACUUUGAUUAAUUCAUUUUAGCUGUAUUAAACUUACUAGGGAAAGAUACCACAAAUCUUCUUCCUAAUCAUAAAUGUAGCUAAAAAUUUAGAGUCAGGUUGAUCAAUUACGGUUGAGACAAUGGGUCCACAAUUCACAAUGAAAUUUCUUUUUUGAGAAAUUGGUACUUUCAUGAAUUUGAUCAACUAGAAAAAUCCUACAUGGUUCACUACUAAAAUAUGAACACCCGCAAGCCUGGAAUGAAGAAAACAAAAAGCGUAAUCUGAAUUUCAAACUGAAACACAACAAUCCCAUCAAAAUACCCCAAAACCAAAGACAUCAACAUUCAUUAAUCAAACAGAAACCCAUCAACGUCAGACUAACCAAACAUCAAAUUACAAAGCACAUUCGAUCAUAAACAUUGGUAAAAUACAGUUGAAAUCAAAGACUUACUAGCUUGGAGCUUCUUGUGCAUCUUAUUGAUCUCCGAAAGCACUUCCUCUUGCUCUUUCCUUAACCGAUCGAGCUCCCUCGAGUUCUCCAAAAUUCCCGCAAUGUCCGGCGACGACAUUUUUUUUUUUUUUUAAAUUUCCCUUGUCGCAGAAUCAGAAUCAGAAUAAGCAAUGUUUGUUCUGCUUCUAACAGAAAGCUCGAUUCUUUUAGCUACAGUCCCACUUCGAUCUUCUCUUUCGUUGUUGGAAAGUUUUUACUUUUUCCCUCUAUGGAACAAAAAAGGAAGGCUUUUUU
RNAcentral lists this unclassified non-coding RNA (1040 nucleotides) under Hevea brasiliensis (rubber tree). The record is from RNAcentral. Lineage: Eukaryota; Viridiplantae; Streptophyta; Magnoliopsida; Malpighiales; Euphorbiaceae.